This 497-nucleotide ribosomal RNA is filed under the name uncultured bacterium. Its description in RNAcentral is "partial 16S ribosomal RNA". It matches the Rfam family "Bacterial small subunit ribosomal RNA", at positions 28 to 507 of the family's 1533-position model. The record is from RNAcentral.
GACGAACGCUGGCGGCGUGCCUAAUACAUGCAAGUUGAGCGCUGAAGGUUGGUACUUGUACCAACUGGAUGAGCAGCGAACGGGUGAGUAACGCGUGGGGAAUCUGCCUUUGAGCGGGGGACAACAUUUGGAAACGAAUGCUAAUACCGCAUAAAAACUUUAAACACAAGUUUUAAGUUUGAAAGAUGCAAUUGCAUCACUCAAAGAUGAUCCCGCGUUGUAUUAGCUAGUUGGUGAGGUAAAGGCUCACCAAGGCGAUGAUACAUAGCCGACCUGAGAGGGUGAUCGGCCACAUUGGGACUGGGACACGGCCCAAGCUCCUACGGGAGGCAGCAGUAGGGAAUCUUCGGCAAUGGACGAAAGUCUGACCGAGCAACGCCGCGUGAGUGAAGAAGGUUUUCGGAUCGUAAAACUCUGUUGGUAGGGAAGAACGUUGGUGAGAGUGGAAAGCUCAUCAAGUGACGGUAACUACCCAGAAAGGGACGGCUAACUACGUG